AGCGGAGCAUGUGGUUUAAUUCGAAGCAACGCGAAGAACCUUACCUAAGCUUGACAUCCCAAUGACAUCUCCUUAAUCGGAGAGUUCCCUUUGGGGACAUUGGUGACAGGUGGUGCAUGGUUGUCGUCAGCUCGUGUCGUGAGAUGUUGGGUUAAGUCCCGCAACGAGCGUAACCCUUGUCUUUAGUUGCCAUCAUUAAGUUGGGCACUCUAGAGAGACUGCCAGGGAUAACCUGGAGGAAGGUGGGGAUGACGUCAAAUCAUCAUGCCCCUUAUGCUUAGGGCUACACACGUGCUACAAUGGGUAGUACAGAGGGUUGCCAAG
Molecule: ribosomal RNA, 324 nt
Filed under: Clostridioides difficile
Lineage: Bacteria; Bacillati; Bacillota; Clostridia; Peptostreptococcales; Peptostreptococcaceae
Description: bacterial SSU rRNA
Rfam family: Bacterial small subunit ribosomal RNA
Source: RNAcentral